UAUGGUCAAGUGAAGAAGCGCAUACGGUGGAUGCCUUGGCAGUCAGAGGCGAUGAAAGACGUGGUAGCCUGCGAAAAGCUUCGGGGAGUCGGCAAACAGACUUUGAUCCGGAGAUGUCUGAAUGGGGGAACCCAGCCAUCAUAAGAUGGUUAUCUUACGCUGAAUACAUAGGCGUAAGAGGCGAACCAGGGGAACUGAAACAUCUAAGUACCCUGAGGAAAAGAAAUCAACCGAGAUUCCCUUAGUAGUGGCGAGCGAACGGGGACUAGCCCUUAAGUGGCUUUGAGAUUAGCGGAACGCUCUGGAAAGUGCGGCCAUAGUGGGUGAUAGCCCUGUACGCGAAAAUCUCUUAGUCAUGAAAUCGAGUAGGACGGAGCACGAGAAACUUUGUCUGAAUAUGGGGGGACCAUCCUCCAAGGCUAAAUACUACUGACUGACCGAUAGUGAACUAGUACCGUGAGGGAAAGGCGAAAAGAACCCCGGAGAGGGGAGUGAAAUAGAUCCUGAAACCGUAUGCGUACAAGCAGUGGGAGCCCACUUUGUUGGGUGACUGCGUACCUUUUGUAUAAUGGGUCAGCGACUUAUUUUCAGUGGCGAGCUUAACCGAAUAGGGGAGGCGUAGCGAAAGCGAGUCUUAAUAGGGCGUCUAGUCGCUGGGAAUAGACCCGAAACCGGGCGAUCUAUCCAUGGGCAGGUUGAAGGUUGGGUAACACUAACUGGAGGACCGAACCGACUACCGUUGAAAAGUUAGCGGAUGACCUGUGGAUCGGAGUGAAAGGCUAAUCAAGCUCGGAGAUAGCUGGUUCUCCUCGAAAGCUAUUUAGGUAGCGCCUCAUGUAUCACUGUAGGGGGUAGAGCACUGUUUCGGCUAGGGGGUCAUCCCGACUUACCAAACCGAUGCAAACUCCGAAUACCUACAAGUGCCGAGCAUGGGAGACACACGGCGGGUGCUAACGUCCGUCGUGAAAAGGGAAACAACCCAGACCGUCAGCUAAGGUCCCAAAGUUAUGGUUAAGUGGGAAACGAUGUGGGAAGGCUUAGACAGCUAGGAGGUUGGCUUAGAAGCAGCCACCCUUUAAAGAAAGCGUAAUAGCUCACUAGUCGAGUCGGCCUGCGCGGAAGAUGUAACGGGGCUCAAACCAUACACCGAAGCUACGGGUAUCACGUAAGUGAUGCGGUAGAGGAGCGUUCUGUAAGCCUGUGAAGGUGAGUUGAGAAGCUUGCUGGAGGUAUCAGAAGUGCGAAUGCUGACAUGAGUAACGACAAUGGGUGUGAAAAACACCCACGCCGAAAGACCAAGGUUUCCUGCGCAACGUUAAUCGACGCAGGGUUAGUCGGUCCCUAAGGCGAGGCUGAAAAGCGUAGUCGAUGGAAAACAGGUUAAUAUUCCUGUACUUCUGGUUAUUGCGAUGGAGGGACGGAGAAGGCUAGGCCAGCUUGGCGUUGGUUGUCCAAGUUUAAGGUGGUAGGCUGAGAUCUUAGGUAAAUCCGGGAUCUUAAGGCCGAGAGCUGAUGACGAGUGUUCUUUUAGAACACGAAGUGGUUGAUGCCAUGCUUCCAAGAAAAGCUUCUAAGCUUCAGGUAACCAGGAACCGUACCCCAAACCGACACAGGUGGUUGGGUAGAGAAUACCAAGGCGCUUGAGAGAACUCGGGUGAAGGAACUAGGCAAAAUGGCACCGUAACUUCGGGAGAAGGUGCGCCGGUGAGGGUGAAGGACUUGCUCCGUAAGCUCAUGCCGGUCGAAGAUACCAGGCCGCUGCGACUGUUUAUUAAAAACACAGCACUCUGCAAACACGAAAGUGGACGUAUAGGGUGUGACGCCUGCCCGGUGCCGGAAGGUUAAUUGAUGGGGUUAGCUAACGCGAAGCUCUUGAUCGAAGCCCCGGUAAACGGCGGCCGUAACUAUAACGGUCCUAAGGUAGCGAAAUUCCUUGUCGGGUAAGUUCCGACCUGCACGAAUGGCGUAACGAUGGCGGCGCUGUCUCCACCCGAGACUCAGUGAAAUUGAAAUCGCUGUGAAGAUGCAGUGUAUCCGCGGCUAGACGGAAAGACCCCGUGAACCUUUACUAUAGCUUUGCACUGGACUUUGAAUUUGCUUGUGUAGGAUAGGUGGGAGGCUUUGAAGCGUGGACGCCAGUCUGCGUGGAGCCAACCUUGAAAUACCACCCUGGCAACUUUGAGGUUCUAACUCAGGUCCGUUAUCCGGAUCGAGGACAGUGUAUGGUGGGUAGUUUGACUGGGGCGGUCUCCUCCUAAAGAGUAACGGAGGAGUACGAAGGUGCGCUCAGACCGGUCGGAAAUCGGUCGUAGAGUAUAAAGGCAAAAGCGCGCUUGACUGCGAGACAGACACGUCGAGCAGGUACGAAAGUAGGUCUUAGUGAUCCGGUGGUUCUGUAUGGAAGGGCCAUCGCUCAACGGAUAAAAGGUACUCCGGGGAUAACAGGCUGAUACCGCCCAAGAGUUCAUAUCGACGGCGGUGUUUGGCACCUCGAUGUCGGCUCAUCACAUCCUGGGGCUGAAGCCGGUCCCAAGGGUAUGGCUGUUCGCCAUUUAAAGUGGUACGCGAGCUGGGUUUAGAACGUCGUGAGACAGUUCGGUCCCUAUCUGCCGUGGACGUUUGAGAUUUGAGAGGGGCUGCUCCUAGUACGAGAGGACCGGAGUGGACGAACCUCUGGUGUUCCGGUUGUCACGCCAGUGGCAUUGCCGGGUAGCUAUGUUCGGAAUAGAUAACCGCUGAAAGCAUCUAAGCGGGAAACUAGCCUCAAGAUGAGAUCUCACUGGAACCUUGAGUUCCCUGAAGGGCCGUCGAAGACUACGACGUUGAUAGGUUGGGUGUGUAAGCGCUGUGAGGCGUUGAGCUAACCAAUACUAAUUGCCCGUGAGGCUUGACCAUA
This 2896-nucleotide ribosomal RNA is filed under the name Pseudomonas poae. RNAcentral's name for it is "bacterial LSU rRNA". It matches the Rfam family "Bacterial large subunit ribosomal RNA". Lineage: Bacteria; Pseudomonadati; Pseudomonadota; Gammaproteobacteria; Pseudomonadales; Pseudomonadaceae. The record is from RNAcentral.